This 459-nucleotide ribosomal RNA is filed under the name uncultured bacterium. RNAcentral describes it as "partial 16S ribosomal RNA". It matches the Rfam family "Bacterial small subunit ribosomal RNA", at positions 338 to 795 of the family's 1533-position model. The record is from RNAcentral.
CCUACGGGUGGCAGCAGUGAGGAAUAUUGGUCAAUGGGCGGGAGCCUGAACCAGCCAAGCCGCGUGAGGGAUGAAGGUACAGCGUAUCGUAAACUUCUUUUGUCAGGGCACAAAGGCGGGCACUAGUCCCUGGAUGAGGGUACCUGAAGAAAAAGCAUCGGCUAACUCCGUGCCAGCAGCCGCGGUAAUACGGAGGAUGCGAGCGUUAUCCGGAUUUAUUGGGUGUAAAGGGUGCGCAGGUGGCCUGUUAAGUCAGCGGUAAAAGUCCGGGGCUCAACCACGGCGAGACGUUGAAACUGGCGGGCUGGAGUUGGAGAGAGGUACGCGGAAUGCGCGGUGUAGGGGGGAAAUGCGGAGAUAACGCGGAGAACCCCGAGUGCGAAGGCAGCGUACCGGCUCCACACUGACGCUGAGGCACGAAAGUGUGGGGAGCAAACAGGAUUAGAUACCCCGGUAGUC